AACUAUUAAAAUUUUGAAAAUAUAGUUAAAACUUACUCUUAAAGUUGUUUCCGUAGGAGGAAUCGAUGCUUUUGUAAGACAGACUUGAAUUUGUUGUUCUUCCAGAAUUUGUAUCCAUUCGCCCGUUAGAAUACUACAUUUCAUUAAAUUAUAUUUAAUUUUAAAUAUACAAGAAUAUAACAUAUUUCAAAACUAAUAUUUAUUUAAAAUAAUAUAAAUAGUUAUUAUAAAAGAUUAAAUUUAAUUUAAGACACGUAUGGUAUCAAAUAUAUUUGUAAUUAUGACCAACACAAAAAGGUUGACUAGGCAAUUUAAUUUCACAUAAAGAUUACCAACUCUUUAGCUGCAUUAUAAUCAAAUUUCAAAUAGUUAACUAGUAAGCUGUUAAAAAAAACUUAACUAAUAUAUGAAUUCAGUAAGCUCAGUAACCCAUUCUCUUAGGUUUGGAACCACUCUAUUUUUAAUAAAUGUCUAUGUUCAUUGGUAUCAUUUCGUUUGGUUGAUUGGUUAGUUUUUAUAUUUUAAUUAUGAUGCGAAUAAAGUGUUAACAUACAUAAAAGAAGUAGUGCGCUUUAUUUGAAACUUAUCUAGAUUUUAGAGGAAAAAAAACAGAUAUGCAUAUUUAUGAUAAAGAAGGAAUACUGAUCUUUUGAAAAUUGACAAGAACUUAAAUUAAAUAUAUAGAUACGGUCCUGAUUAUUUAAUAUUUUCUGAAUGAACUAUGGUUUCUAUGAAUAUUAUGUUAUCAUUUAGUCAGCAUCGUAAACUAAAAUUUUAAGAUUUACGCUUCUAUAUAUCCAACAAAAUUAUUACUUUAGCAAUUUACUUAAAUUAAACUAACAAUUGUUUUAGAAUUUGGCUUUUUCAUAAACAAACUAUUACUUUAGCAAUUCAGUUAAAUUAAACUAACAAUAACCAUUUUGGUAAUUUAUAUUAAAUAAACUAUAAUUUUAAACACUAUAUUGUAAGUAAAUAUCAUUUCUUUGUUAACCUUCAAUUAAUUGGAUAACGAAAUACACUUAUUAGUUUGUAGUUAUUUUAUUUUAAGAUUUAUUAUGUGGAUUAAUUAAUUAUUUUAAAUGUAACGUAAUCAAUUUAAAUCAACAAACUUACAUAUUUUGUGAAUAUGAAUAAGUCACUUUGAAUGUUGUGUGAAUGAAUGCUUAGUCAAGUGAACUCACGUUCCUUUUUUUUCUGAUAUGAUGAAAUUGUAAACUGAUUUGGUAGAUAUAUAUAACAGUUUUUCAGAAAGAAUAACUGAUUGGUAACCAUGUGCGGUUUCCGGUACGGCUUUUUGAAAUCCGCUUUUUGUUAAUUCACCAAUCACUACCAAAGUUGUGUUAGAGAGACACGUCACUAAGUAAAUUAAGGAAAACUGUUAAUUCACCGAUCACUAAGGCAGUGAUCUGUCUCCUGAGAGAGACACGUCAUUAAGUAAAUUAAGGGUAGCCUUUCACGUGUCCUCUUCGUUUUUUAUAUUUCUGUUUCGAUUUUAUAUGGGCCAUUAUGAUUAAAUUAGUUGGACUUGGCCUUUAGUUAUUUUAUUUGUUAAAAAUCAAAGCCCAACCCAAAUGAAAGGAAAGCAGGUAGGAUUCGUUCAUCGUCUUCGUCAAUCUGACUUUGGCAUCCAGGGUUCAUCUUCAAACGAAUCUAUCGCCAUUAAUGGAGUUUCAGGAGGUUGUGUGAGGCGAAUCUUCAUGCAGAAUAUUUGGGUCGAGCUUCGUUUGUGUCGUUUCGUUUGAGAUUCUUCUCUUCCAUAACGUUACGGGAUUCAACGCCAUUAAGAACUAUCUUUAAUUCUUCAAUCCACAACCAGCACGAUUAAUCAUUUAAUGCUUUGUAUUUCUCUUCCAGACGGUGUAUAUCCACCUAUAAAAGGUCGUCUUCAUUCACUGGACAUCGUCCUCACAAUUCCUAAAAACACUAGAAACUUAUUUUAUCGGGAUUGUAUCGUCUUCAACCCUCAAAUUUUGUUUGCAUUGACAGUGAGUUUCCGUUAUUGAUUUGGCAACGGAGCACGAGAAUAUAGAGAUCGAAUUCUUCUUCUCGGUUUGAAUAUCUUACAAACUAUUAUUCUGAUGUCUCAGAGGUACUGAUAAAGAAGAGGGCCAGAGGUUUCUCACAGUGGUAAAGAAAGAUGAAGAUGUGAACAAGGCCGGCUUAGAUAGGGGGGCGAGCGGUGCGACCGUCCCGGGUCCAAUCCGUUGUCCCCCUAUUUCUUAAUAGAUAAGAGCCCGAUUAUUUUAAAAAAUACAUGUAUUUUUAUAUUAAAAAUAAGAAAAGAGAUCUAAAUUUUUUUUAUAUGAAAGUUUUUUUUAUUUCCAUAGAUUUAUUUUUAAAAAUACUACUGGUAUUUUGAAAAAAAACAUAUAUCUAUCAGAUUUUUUAAACAAAAAUAAUAGUUUAGAAAUUAAUUUUUUUUUUGCCCUAAGGCCCAUGACACCGCCGGUCCUGGAUGUGAAAGUGAUUGUAGCUGGUGAUGAUGAUUGGUUGCCUCAGCCGCCAAAGGUUGUCUCCGAUAAAAGCAAAGAGUCCGGUGAAGAUUCUACCAUUAAAGCUUUGAGGUAGUUGUGUAUGUCUCGAGUAUUUUUUUUCAUCUAUGUGCUGCCAGUUGCUAUUAGAAGCUACGGUUUGAACACUGCUACCUUUAAUUUUGUAGUGAGCCUUUCUUGAUGAUAUCAUCCAAAGAGUUGCUUUGUUACACUUUGAUUCUUAAAUUUUGAAUUGAAAAUAUGAAAAGUAUUAGAAACUACGGUUUCAUAUGUGUGUGCUUCAUAUGCUGCCAUUAGAUGUUACUGUUUUUUCCUUCAACAUUAUAUAUCUCUUGGCCGAUUUCACUUUCACAUGAAGCGAUAAGUUUGAACACUGCUAACUGUUAUUUGUUAAUUCAUAUGUGAUGAUAUCACCCAAAGAGUCUCUAUUAUUACGCUUUGAUUCUUAAGUUCUGAAUGGAAACAUGCACUGCAAGUGGAAGAAGAUGGAGCUCAUGUCUUUCACAAAAACUGUAGUAGAUGUGGUGCAGGAAGCAGAGGCAAGUAAAACUCACUGAAUGUAGAACUGCUGUUGGUGCUUUUGGAGGCGGAGAAUAUACUAAUGGAGUGUAUGCAACAGCGCUUAUGGUGGUUAAAGCUGGGAGCAGCGACCGUCCUGCCAUUCCAGGCUUAAACAGCCCACCUUUUCUUCCUGCUGAGGGUGAUCAUCCAUGUGUCAUGCGAAGAAGCCUUACAAAAUACAAGUCUUUGUUUCCCGCAAUCGAUUUUUCAACUAUUGUAGGUGACAAUGAUAUUUUGUGGAAGCCCAGUCCAAGAGAGACCUCAGACGAAGUUGCAGCUAGAGGUGUAGAGUUCGUUAACUGGUGAGUUCCAUGGAUAUUAAAUACAUUUUUGUUCCUUUUUAGUUACUAAUUAUUUUCCCAUUGACUUCAUGCAUGGUGUCUUGAGUUAUUUUGGGGAGAAUUGUGUCGACGACAUAAAGAAAAAGUUGUCUAUACAGUAAGAGACCUUACCACACAAACCUGAAGAAAUGCAUUAAUUGUUUACUAAUGAAACUAUGUAACAUUUUUUCAGCUUCGAAAAAAAUUAUGGUAGAGUAGAGGAUCAAUAUUAUAGUCUCUAAGACAUAUGCAUUAGACAUGCAUAAAACUUUUCUUAUUUUUAAUUGAUACUUUUUUUCCACGA
Brassica napus (rape) is the source of this 3677-nucleotide RNA transcript. RefSeq lists it as uncharacterized. NCBI's taxonomy places the organism in Eukaryota, Viridiplantae, Streptophyta, Magnoliopsida, Brassicales, Brassicaceae. The transcript has 4 exons. The record is from RefSeq and is a predicted model, not a curated record.